UUUUUACACAGGCAUUUAUUGCGCUGUAUACGUGGGUAGCUGAAUUAACGUUUAAGCGGCGUAUUUCCGUCGCCAGCCCCACGGUUAGGAAGGCCGCGUUUAGCGGCUUUUCCUAUAGUUAG
This 122-nucleotide non-coding RNA is filed under the name Gardnerella vaginalis JCP8151B. RNAcentral describes it as "DUF3800-I RNA". It matches the Rfam family "DUF3800-I RNA". From Rfam's summary of the family: Actinobacteria, Firmicutes, Fusobacteria, Proteobacteria (1 example), Tenericutes (2 examples). Terminator (Clostridia) Lineage: Bacteria; Bacillati; Actinomycetota; Actinomycetes; Bifidobacteriales; Bifidobacteriaceae. The record is from Rfam by way of RNAcentral.